RNAcentral lists this non-coding RNA (44 nucleotides) under Schistosoma mansoni. The record is from RNAcentral. Lineage: Eukaryota; Metazoa; Platyhelminthes; Trematoda; Strigeidida; Schistosomatidae.
AUCCAGCUGAUGAGCCCCAAUAGGACGAAACGCGCGUCCUGGAU